RNAcentral lists this ribosomal RNA (1372 nucleotides) under uncultured bacterium. RNAcentral's name for it is "bacterial SSU rRNA". It matches the Rfam family "Bacterial small subunit ribosomal RNA", at positions 28 to 1381 of the family's 1533-position model. The record is from RNAcentral.
GAUGAACGCUGGCGGCGUGCCUAAUACAUGCAAGUCGAGCGAACGGACGAGAAGCUUGCUUCUCUGAUGUUAGCGGCGGACGGGUGAGUAACACGUGGAUAACCUACCUAUAAGACUGGGAUAACUUCGGGAAACCGGAGCUAAUACCGGAUAAUAUUUUGAACCGCAUGGUUCAAAAGUGAAAGACGGUCUUGCUGUCACUUAUAGAUGGAUCCGCGCUGCAUUAGCUAGUUGGUAAGGUAACGGCUUACCAAGGCAACGAUGCAUAGCCGACCUGAGAGGGUGAUCGGCCACACUGGAACUGAGACACGGUCCAGACUCCUACGGGAGGCAGCAGUAGGGAAUCUUCCGCAAUGGGCGAAAGCCUGACGGAGCAACGCCGCGUGAGUGAUGAAGGUCUUCGGAUCGUAAAACUCUGUUAUUAGGGAAGAACAUAUGUGUAAGUAACUGUGCACAUCUUGACGGUACCUAAUCAGAAAGCCACGGCUAACUACGUGCCAGCAGCCGCGGUAAUACGUAGGUGGCAAGCGUUAUCCGGAAUUAUUGGGCGUAAAGCGCGCGUAGGCGGUUUUUUAAGUCUGAUGUGAAAGCCCACGGCUCAACCGUGGAGGGUCAUUGGAAACUGGAAAACUUGAGUGCAGAAGAGGAAAGUGGAAUUCCAUGUGUAGCGGUGAAAUGCGCAGAGAUAUGGAGGAACACCAGUGGCGAAGGCGACUUUCUGGUCUGUAACUGACGCUGAUGUGCGAAAGCGUGGGGAUCAAACAGGAUUAGAUACCCUGGUAGUCCACGCCGUAAACGAUGAGUGCUAAGUGUUAGGGGGUUUCCGCCCCUUAGUGCUGCAGCUAACGCAUUAAGCACUCCGCCUGGGGAGUACGACCGCAAGGUCGAAACUCAAAGGAAUUGACGGGGACCCGCACAAGCGGUGGAGCAUGUGGUUUAAUUCGAAGCAACGCGAAGAACCUUACCAAAUCUUGACAUCCUUUGACAACUCUAGAGAUAGAGCCUUCCCCUUCGGGGGACAAAGUGACAGGUGGUGCAUGGUUGUCGUCAGCUCGUGUCGUGAGAUGUUGGGUUAAGUCCCGCAACGAGCGCAACCCUUAAGCUUAGUUGCCAUCAUUAAGUUGGGCACUCUAAGUUGACUGCCGGUGACAAACCGGAGGAAGGUGGGGAUGACGUCAAAUCAUCAUGCCCCUUAUGAUUUGGGCUACACACGUGCUACAAUGGACAAUACAAAGGGCAGCGAAACCGCGAGGUCAAGCAAAUCCCAUAAAGUUGUUCUCAGUUCGGAUUGUAGUCUGCAACUCGACUACAUGAAGCUGGAAUCGCUAGUAAUCGUAGAUCAGCAUGCUACGGUGAAUACGUUCUCGGGUCU